GUAGGUGGCAAGCGUUGUCCGGAAUUAUUGGGCGUAAAGCGCGCGCAGGCGGUUCUUUAAGUCUGAUGUGAAAGCCCACGGCUCAACCGUGGAGGGUCAUUGGAAACUGGAGAACUUGAGUACAGAAGAGGAAAGCGGAGUUCCACGUGUAGCGGUGAAAUGCGUAGAGAUGUGGAGGAACACCAGUGGCGAAGGCGGCUUUCUGGUCUGUAACUGACGCUGAGGCGCGAAAGCGUGGGGAGCAAACAGGGAUUAGAUACCCUGGUAGUCCACGCCGUAAACGAUGAGUGCUAAGCGUUAGGGGGUUUCCGCCCCCUUAGUGCUGCAGCUAACGCAUUAAGCACUCCGCCUGGGGAGUACGGCCGCAAGGCUG
This 373-nucleotide ribosomal RNA is filed under the name uncultured organism. Its description in RNAcentral is "partial 16S ribosomal RNA". It matches the Rfam family "Bacterial small subunit ribosomal RNA", at positions 527 to 896 of the family's 1533-position model. The record is from RNAcentral.